This 433-nucleotide ribosomal RNA is filed under the name uncultured bacterium. Its description in RNAcentral is "partial 16S ribosomal RNA". It matches the Rfam family "Bacterial small subunit ribosomal RNA", at positions 29 to 507 of the family's 1533-position model. The record is from RNAcentral.
AACGAACGCUGGCGGCAUGCCUAACACAUGCAAGUCGAACGAGACCUUCGGGUCGAGUGGCGCACGGGUGCGUAACGCGUGGGAACCUGCCCUUAGGUUCGGAAUAACUCCCCGAAAGGGGUGCUAAUACCGGAUAAUGUCUUCGGACCAAAGAUUUAUCGCCUUUGGAUGGGCCCGCGUUGGAUUAGCUAGUUGGUAGGGUAAAAGCCUACCAAGGCGACGAUCCAUAGCUGGUCUGAGAGGAUGAUCAGCCACACUGGGACUGAGACACGGCCCAGACUCCUACGGGAGGCAGCAGUGGGGAAUAUUGGACAAUGGGCGAAAGCCUGAUCCAGCCAUGCCGCGUGAGUGAUGAAGGCCUUAGGGUUGUAAAGCUCUUUUACCCGGGAUGAUAAUGACAGUACCGGGAGAAUAAGCUCCGGCUAACUCCGUG